UUUGCCUACGGGGGGCAGCAGUCGGGAAUAUUGCGCAAUGGAGGAAACUCUGACGCAGUGACGCCGCGUAUGGGAAGACGGUUUUCGGAUUGUAAACUAUUGUCGUGAGGGAAGAAAUUGACAGUACCUCAGGUGGAAGCUCCGGCUAACUAUGUGCCAGCAGCCGCGGUAAUACAUAGGGAGCAAGCGUUAUCCGGAUUUAUUGGGUGUAAAGGGUGCGUAGACGGGUGAUUAAGUUAGUUGUGAAAUCCCUCGGCUUAACUGAGGAACUGCAAUUAAAACUGAUUUUCUUGAGUACUGGAGAG
This 305-nucleotide ribosomal RNA is filed under the name uncultured bacterium. Its description in RNAcentral is "bacterial SSU rRNA". It matches the Rfam family "Bacterial small subunit ribosomal RNA", at positions 334 to 656 of the family's 1533-position model. The record is from RNAcentral.